AACGAACGCUGGCGGCAUGCCUAACACAUGCAAGUCGAACGAGACCUUCGGGUCUAGUGGCGCACGGGUGCGUAACGCGUGGGAACCUGCCCUUAGGUUCGGAAUAACUCCCCGAAAGGGGUGCUAAUACCGGAUAAUGUCUUCGGACCAAAGAUUUAUCGCCUUUGGAUGGGCCCGCGUUGGAUUAGCUAGUUGGUAGGGUAAAAGCCUACCAAGGCGACGAUCCAUAGCUGGUCUGAGAGGAUGAUCAGCCACACUGGGAGUGAGACACGGCCCAGACUCCUACGGGAGGCAGCAGUGGGGAAUAUUGGAAAAUGGGCGAAAGGCUGAUCCAGCAAUGCCGCGUGAGUGCUGAAGGCCUUAGGGUUGUAAAGCUCUUUUACCCGGGAUGAUAAUGACGGUACCGGGAGAAUAAGCACCGGCUAACUCCGUG
This 433-nucleotide ribosomal RNA is filed under the name uncultured bacterium. RNAcentral's name for it is "partial 16S ribosomal RNA". It matches the Rfam family "Bacterial small subunit ribosomal RNA", at positions 29 to 507 of the family's 1533-position model. The record is from RNAcentral.